Non-coding RNA from Cryomyces minteri, 88 nucleotides. The record is from the annotation of a GenBank genome assembly. Lineage: Eukaryota; Fungi; Ascomycota; Dothideomycetes.
GGUUGUGUAGUGUAGCGGUUAGCACUUCAGAUUUUGAUUACAUAAUCAAUGCUUUCUGGAAACCCCGGUUCGAUUCCGGGCACGACCU